RNAcentral lists this long non-coding RNA (6242 nucleotides) under Homo sapiens (human). Its description in RNAcentral is "HSALNT0118826". Lineage: Eukaryota; Metazoa; Chordata; Mammalia; Primates; Hominidae. The record is from RNAcentral.
AUAACAGACACUGAAGACUCAAGAAGGGCUGUAUCAUGAACCAUGGUGAUGAUCUUCAUGAGCAAUCCUUCAAACUGACUGGAGUUGUGUCUCUGCGAGUCUUUGUUAUUGGCGUUUUGCUAUAUUUGUUUGUCUAGACUGCUGUAAUAACAUACCAUAAAUUAGGUAGCUUGUAAAUAACAGAAAUUUAUAUCUCACAGUUCAGAAGACUAGGAAGUCUAAGAUCAGGGCACCAGCAUGGUUGGGUUCUGAUGAGGGCUAUCUUCCAGGUUGCAGACUGCUGACUUCUCGUUGACUUCUCGUGUGGUAGAAAGGAUAAACAAGAUCUCUCAGCCUCUUUUGUAAGGACACUAAUCCCAUUGUAAGGGUUCUGCCCCCAUGAGCUAGUUACCUCUGAAAGGCAGCACGUUUUAAUACCAUCACCUUAGGAGUUAGGUUUCAACCUACGAAUUUUGGGGCAUAUAUUCAGACCAUAGUAUGUCUUAAGUUGGAAGUUGAUCCUAAUUCACAGUGGUUCUGGCUCAGAUACUGUCAGCCAUUCUGGGUUAGAUCCUACUUGGUGCUCUGGAUUACACCUCAGUUAAGCUAUUGCCACAUUAUAGACCUUCCUCUCCCCCAAAUAGUUUUGCUUCUGACUUUUGGAAUAGUGUCUGGAAAAUGACACCCCCCCCAUAUUUUCUAAGUAUGAUCUGUGUGAAAGUCUUAGUUGAAAUGUUGUUAUUUUAGCCAAGUUGAUUAAUACUGAAAGGUGUUACUAAGGCUAUAUAUUAAUGGAACUUCUGACAGUAGCUGCCAUUGGGUGAGCUUAGAUUAAAUAGUAAUUGUGAUUGAAAAGGAAUGUAAUUAAUUAUACCAUUUGAGUGGUUCUGGCUCUCAUUAAAAGGUGUCAUGAUUCAAGGAAUUGUGAUAGACAACCCUCAAAGUUAUACAGUUUUUAUUAAACCACAAGCACAGUGGAUUCAACUUUGGAAUGAUGUUCUUUCUCAGGGACCUUCCUGAAUUAUCAACAUUUUAUAUAUAUGUAAUAUAUAACAACUGUGUGGCUAGUCCACACCUGGAUUUCUAGCCAUUAGACUGGCUAACAAGAACACUUGGAAUUCUAAGGUUUCUUUAUGAGACAUUCAAAGGCCUUUGCCUAAAACCAUUUGUCUGAUAAAUGGAAAUUCAAAUAUAGGAAACCUAAUGGUCAUUUUGACAAUUUAGCUCUAUUUAUUUAUUCAUUACAAAAAUGGCAAAAAUGCGGUUUUAAUGAAGAAACUUACAUACAUUAUUCGUUAUUUUUAUUUUAAAACUGACCUGGGUAUAAAACAGAUUGUUGCAUUUUCUGAUGUGAUUUUUAACAAGAGCAGAGUAGCAGACGAUUUGAGCAUAACUGUAGAACACUGCAUGAUUGAAUGAGUGAAAUGCCAUACAAUUUUCAGUACUAGGUAGAAUUCUCACUACCCAUUAAAUUGAAAAAUGAGAGAAGCAAGACUUCUGCUGCCACCCACUUUGGUAAAGAGUCCAGUUUUCUUGGUACAAAAAUAAAAUGCCUACUCCACUCUCUUGAGCAAUAUCUUUGAAAUAUUACUAACCUCCAUGGCAGAGGUUGCUUAAUCUGCAAAUGUUUUGGCUAGCAAACCAUUAUUAUUGCUAAUAACCCUUACUCACAUUAUCCAGAGAACUGCUUCUUCUACCAUUCUUUAACAAAUGGAAUAUAGCAUAGUAGGCGUACUGAGCCGUAUUAAAUUUUACACAUCAUUAGUCCCUACCUCCCUUAAAGUUUUAGCUUAUAUUUUUUCUUUUCUAUCUUCCCCACAAAGACAUUUUUUUGUCCACUAAGGAAACAUAUUGAGUGAGAUCUCAUGCAGAUUAGUGUAAUUCUCUUGUGUAAUUUUGUUUAAAAAAUAGUUAAAGGGCUAUGGGAAAAUGUGGUGACUUUGAUAAAAAUAUUUUAAAAGUAAAAAUAAUGUGUUUUGACCGUGUGAAUGAUGUCACAUUUACUGUGUAAUAUGUAAUUUAAAACAACUACCACCAAAAUUUUUUUUAGUUUGACUCUCUUGAUUCACCAUAAUUAUAUCACAACAAACUCUUUUCAGCAGGAUCAGUUUUUAAGGUUGAGUUUAUUAUAAAAAUAUUUACUUAUAAUCCUCCAUUCAUUAAUUGUUUUAUGGUCUGAUAUGCUUUGGCUCUGUGUCCCCACCCAAAUCUCAUCUCAAAUUGUAAUCCCCACGUGUUGAAGGAGGGACCUGGUGGUAGGUGAUUGGAUCAUGGCGGGAGUUUUUCCCAUGCUGUUCUCUGACACUGAGUGAGUUCUCACAAGAUCUGAUGGUUUAAACGUGUUUUGCGGUUUGCCCCUCACUCUCUCUCUCUCUCCUGCCACUAUGUAAGAUGUUCCUUGCUCCUCCUUUGCCUUCCGCAAUGACUGCUAAUUUUCUCAAGGCCUUCCCAGACAUGCAGAACCAUGAAUUCAAUGAAACCUCUUUUCUUCAUAAAUUAUACAGUCUCAGGUAGUUCUUUAGAGCGGUGUGAAAAUGGACUAAUACAUGGUCAUAUUUUUAAUUUUUGGUAUGCAGUGAUUUGGAAAUUUCCACCAGUUUUUGCUGAAUUAGGUAAAAGGUAUUUUCAGAGAACAACAUGCAAACUAAAAGUAAGCCUUCUUUCCAGCUGCUAAAAAUUGGCUGUUUCUUUUAUAAGUUUUCAAAGGCAAAGGCAACAUUUCAAUCAGCAGUGAGUAUUCUGCCUUUCACCAAAUACAGUAAAAACAGAUCUGCGAAUUAUUCAUAAUGAUCUGUCAUCAGUUCUUGCCAAUCAUGGUAUUCAUAUGUUAGUGAACACCAUUUAUGUCUCAAGCCAUAAGUAGGAAUUUUUUUGAAUCAAGACUUGAACUAGGACUUGAGAUAUGUGUUGUGAAGUCAAGCAGAACCAGCUCGAUUUCUCAGCAGGACGGGACAAUAAAAUCUGUAAGUGUGCAGGCGAGGUGACAUAGGAUAAACAAAUUGGAUGUCUGAUUGAAUUAUGUCUAUUAAAAUCAACAUUUGGUUGGUUAAAUAAUAGUAUAAGUUUUUAUGGAAAUUUACAAUGAAUCAUUCCUUAAUGUAGCAUUUAUAAAGCCGUUAGCUGGCCUAAAAUAUAAAGAGCUAGGAAGUUAUCACUGCCAUACUUGCAGCAAGAAAGGCCCUGAACAAACUGAAAAUCAACAGCUAUUGGUAAAUUAGUCAGAGCAUUGAAGUCAAAGGGAAAACUCCUCCCCUCAAAACUAGGGAGCCAGGAAAAGGGAAAAUUAUACCUUAUUGGGCACAGAAGCAAUUGCUAGAUCCUAAAGAGGAACCAACUAAUUGUUAGGGAUUGAACACAGACUAGCUUGAGAGAAAAAAACUUUCGGGGAUCCCGGCUAAUGAGGGCUACACAUUUUUCUGAGUUUUACCUUCAGGAACUCCACCGGGUUCUCAGGGAGAUAAAAUUGGAGAAGAAUCCUUUCCGUGCUUCAAGCAAGGGGAAGGAUAAUUUAACAAUUUCAAAAUAAGCUCAGAGCACUCUCUUCUCAUUGGCAAAAGAUCUGUACUCCAGGGAAAUAAUUUUACCAGACUCCAACCAUCUUGAGUUUUAUCAAAAUCUAAUUGAUCUGGAAGAAGGAAAAUACCUAACUCUAGCUUUCUUUAGGCUUCCUGUCUCACCUAAUGGGGUAGGAAAAGGAAAGGAAAACACUGAGAAGCACUUGUGAAGGUUAAAGCUGAGGAACACAGGCUUAAAAAAGACCGAAACCUUAUCAUAGAAAUAUAGAAAGCUUCCCACCUAUCACCACAUGAACAAGACUCCCGUUAAAAAUAACGGGAUUACAGUUGAAAGAACUGCCAGCCUCAGACCUUAUUUAUAAGUAAAUUUCUGGGUAAACCUAAAGACAACCAGGGGAGGCGAAAACAAGGACACUAGAUGGAAAUUCUGAAAAUGAAAAGGAAAUACUAGACAUCAAAGACACUUUAACAGAAAUGAAGGAUGUCUUGAAUGUGCUCAUCAGUGGAAAGAAUUAGUGAGCUUAAAGAAUCUGUGAACUUAAAAAUAUGUUAAAAGAAAGCUGAAAAGCAAAGAGAAAAAGGAGUCAAAAAAGGAAAAGAAGUGUAAAUGGCUCUUGAGCUAGAAAAAUAAUGAUGUCUAUCGUGUGUAUAAUGGUUUAUGCAUGUGUGCACAUGCUUGAGUUAACUUUCUAAAGAAAACCGGUAUUCAUGCAGUUUCGGAACUUGCUUCAUUUAUCCAAUGUGCUUCUUUUUCAGAAAAAUUUGAUAUGUGAUUACAUAUUACAUUAUUUUAUUAAAGUCUGCCAUUCCCCCACCUCUAGCUUUUUGUGCUUCCAGGGUUUCUCAAUCAGCUCUCCCAACAUUUCUCCCAAUAACAUCUGGGGCAACUGAGCAGCUUUCACGAAUCCUCACACUCAUCACAUCCCAUAAAAAGGGACCUUAUUGAUAAUAAGGUUCUCCCACUUUAGAAAAAAAGUAAUGGUUUGCAAAGCAAAUGUACUUGUUAUUUUUUACUUUACAUGUGGGAGACAUUGUAAUCUAGUAAAGGAAUGUCUCUGUGUAAGGUUUGUAGACAGAAAUUAUGAAUCUUGAAUGAAAUGCCAAAUACUAAUGCGCAACUCCUGGGACAUUCUGCUUUCCAUAGUUAGUUUCAGUGAAUGAUGAAUUUAGAAAAGAUUUUCUAGAAAUGAGUGAAAAUGACAAAAUAGCAGGCACAUUGCAGAUGCUUCGCAUUAAUGGUGAGGAAAAAAAUUGAAAAAUGUUGAAAGAUGUAGAAUAUUCUAACUGCAAUAAUAUUUGUAAGAUAUUUUCUUUAGGUUUCUCAUUUUUCACAAUUGAUACUUUUGUGGAAAGUUAUGGUGCAUUUUUGGGAGGAUAUUGAUUGUUUUAUGGUCCGAUAUGGUUUGGUUCUGUGUCCCCACCCAGAUUUCAUCUCAAAUUGUAAUCCCUACGUGUUGAGGGAGGGAUCUGGUCGUAGGUGAUUGGAUCAUGGGGGCUGUUUUCCCCAUGCUGUAAAAUUUAAAUUUCAUUGGGAUGUGGACUAAUUGAGAUAAACACUUAAAUUUCACUAGGAUGUGGACUAAUUGAGAUAAAUCUUCGAUAAAUAUUAUCAAUGGAAAAUCUGUUUAAAAAUGAAUUAACUUUUCCUGACUUGGUAUUUUAUGGCCAGAUUUCCAUUGAUUACUUAGUAAAUAGAAUAUUUGUUUAAAAAGGUGGUUUUUGUUUCCUGUUCUCCUAUUUUGAAGAGGAUAAAGGGUGUCUCACUUGGUAGAAAUAAUAUUCACCCAUUCCUUUCUCUUUUUGUCUGACAAUCUGAUUAAGAAGGUACCUAAAAAAGGAACCAGGAAGAAAGUGUGGAGGUCACUUUUUAAGGAUGGAGAAAGAGAAAGGAAAUAUUAGGAUAAGUGAAGUAACAAUGUUUCCAUGAUGAAUGUUUUGGGAGGAAAAAGAUGGAAAAAAUAACGAAGCUUUCUUUCAAAGGAAAAAACCUCAGAUUUUCAGGUCAUUUUUUGUCUCUGCCUUAAUUAUAUGUUAACAGCAUUUGAUUCUUAUUUCACAAGAAUAAGCUUGCAUAUGGGAAAAGAAGGGAGGCAUCAGGUUACGAGAGUGUCCCACAGUUCUCUUUCUGCUAUUUUUGCUAUUACUACUCCUGCCUUGUUCUGCCUUAUAAACCUUGCCCUUCACUAGUGAGGAAUACAAGCACAGUUCAGAAGAGACUGUCUAUCAUAGCCCUGAAAAUAAUCACCUUUCCUGAGAUAGUAAAAUUUUAUUUUAGAAUAGUGGAAUACAGUGCUAAAUUGAUCACUGUGUACUGCUUCCUUGUUUCUUUUGUUAUCUAUAUUUUAAAACAUUUUAGGUCAAAAUUUCCUAUUUUCAAACUGUGUUUCUGUGACAACAGAAAAUCUAAAAAUAAAGCUUAAUUUUAGAUUUUUUUAAACCUAUAAGCCUUAAAAUACCUUGCAACUUACUUUUCAUUUCCCUCAUAGAUUUUCUUCAGGGAAAAUAACUUUCAUAUAAAGUUACAGCCAUAGGCUUGCUAUUCAUUAAACCUAACUGCUUGAUCUCAUGAUUAACUUAAGAGAAACCUUAACACUGAGCUUUUGCUUUUAAUUAUUUCUGUGCUGAGUUAUUGAAAUACAAUUCCAAAUUAUAUUUAUUUAUAUACAUACACAUGUGUGCAUAUAUAGGCUACAUAUUUUAUGUUAAUAUUUUAUAUAUUGUAUCUAGGGCAUAAAGAGUAACUCCGUG